This is a long non-coding RNA of Eucalyptus grandis, 995 nucleotides long. RefSeq lists it as uncharacterized. The transcript is spliced from 2 exons. NCBI's taxonomy places the organism in Eukaryota, Viridiplantae, Streptophyta, Magnoliopsida, Myrtales, Myrtaceae. The record is from RefSeq and is a predicted model, not a curated record.
AGAGGGGAAAUUGAUUUUUUCUUCCUCCCCUCUCUCCUCCAUCGACGGAUCCUCCCCCAUCUUCUUCCUUUUUCUUCAAAACUCCAUGGGAGCCGAAGACCAGCGAAGACCGAGCUGCCAUCACCGCCUCUCGCCGCCGUCGUCGCACGCCCGCAAGCCACCGGAGCUUCUCGUGCGCACCCAAGCUCGUCGUCGAGCUGCUGUCCGCACGCCUCCGCCCCUCUCCUCCCUCUGGUUCGAACAGAACCGAAUAGCAUAAGCAGCGUCCAGCGUCGCCGGAAGGAGCCGCGACCAGUUGCUUGGACGCCGCCGCACUGGAGCUGCUGCGCCGCCGCCUUCGCAACGCCGCGCGCUCCGCCGCCUCACGCUCGCACCUGCCGUCCCCGCCGUGCGACCCAGCCCCUGUUCCGCCUCUGUUCAGCUUCGUUCGGCCACCUCAGGCCGCCGCCCGACCACCUCCGGCCACCGUGUGCCGCCACCUUGACCCGUCGGAGUCCCCUCGCCCUCCACCGACCUUGUCCGGCUCGAAUCAGCCUCGGAACCGCCCCUUCCAGCAGCAAUCAGAGGGCUGGAAAAAUGGGUAUCGCAGAGGGUUUUGGCCCGUUUUGGCCGCCUUCCCAAGCCCGAAUGCUCAGCCCGCUUUGAGGAAAGUUGAUCCUCGCGUCGAGCCCGUCGUUUUGAGACCUGGAUGAGGAGUCUAAGGAGCAUGAAUCUGAUGAGGAGAUCCCUGUUGAGGAACCUGAAGAGGAGUACGUGGAGGAGGACCCCGAGGAUAACCCCGAGUAUGAUCCGGAUGAGGAUUGGGAUCCCGUCCUGUCUUGUCAAACCUUGUGUGCAUGUGAAUAGAUGUUAGACCUGAAGUGUAUAUAUAUACAUAAGGAUGUGGUUUUCAGGUUCAGGUUUCUAGUCCUACUUGUAUAUCCCAUUGCUUUAUUGUCUGGGGAUUGUUAUAACUACUUCCGCAUGUGCUAUUAAAAAUGACAGGGUCGGCGAUA